This 74-nucleotide transfer RNA is filed under the name Patescibacteria group bacterium. RNAcentral describes it as "tRNA-Met". It matches the Rfam family "tRNA". Rfam says of the family: Transfer RNA (tRNA) molecules are approximately 80 nucleotides in length. Their secondary structure includes four short double-helical elements and three loops (D, anti-codon, and T loops). Further hydrogen bonds mediate the characteristic L-shaped molecular structure. tRNAs have two regions of fundamental functional importance: the anti-codon, which is responsible for specific mRNA codon recognition, and the 3' end, to which the tRNAs corresponding amino acid is attached (by aminoacyl-tRNA synthetases). tRNAs cope with the degeneracy of the genetic code in two manners: having more than one tRNA (with a specific anti-codon) for a particular amino acid; and 'wobble' base-pairing, i.e. permitting non-standard base-pairing at the 3rd anti-codon position. The record is from RNAcentral.
GCCGGGGUAGCUCAGUCGGUUAGAGCGUUGCUUUCAUAAGGCAAAAGUCGAGGGUUCGAGUCCCUCCCCCGGUA